GAAUAUUGGACAAUGGGGGGAACCCUGAUCCAGCCAUGCCGCGUGCGUGAAGAAGGCCUUUUGGUUGUAAAGCACUUUCAGCGAGGAGGAGGCUACCCGAGUUAAUACCCAGAGCUAGUGGACGUUAAUCGCAGAACAAGAACCGGCUGACUCUGGUACAGCAACCGCUGUAAUACAGAGUGUGCAAGCGUUAAUCGGAUUUACUGGGCGUAAAGCGCGCGUAGGUGGCCAAUUAAGUCAAAUGUGAAAUCCCCGAGCUUAACUUGGGAAUUGCAUUCGAUACUGGUUGGCUAGAGUAUGGGAGAGGAUGGUAGAAUUCCAGGUGUAGCGGUGAAAUGCGUAGAGAUCUGGAGGAAUACCGAUGGCGAAGGCAGCCAUCUGGCCUAAUACUGACACUGAGGUGCGAAAGCAUGGGGAGCAAAC
RNAcentral lists this ribosomal RNA (423 nucleotides) under uncultured bacterium. RNAcentral describes it as "partial 16S ribosomal RNA". It matches the Rfam family "Bacterial small subunit ribosomal RNA", at positions 359 to 773 of the family's 1533-position model. The record is from RNAcentral.